AUUGAACGCUGGCGGCAGGCCUAACACAUGCAAGUCGAGCGGAUGAAGGGAGCUUGCUCCUGGAUUCAGCGGCGGACGGGUGAGUAAUGCCUAGGAAUCUGCCUGGUAGUGGGGGAUAACGUCCGGAAACGGGCGCUAAUACCGCAUACGUCCUGAGGGAGAAAGUGGGGGAUCUUCGGACCUCACGCUAUCAGAUGAGCCUAGGUCGGAUUAGCUAGUUGGUGGGGUAAAGGCCUACCAAGGCGACGAUCCGUAACUGGUCUGAGAGGAUGAUCAGUCACACGGGAACUGAGACACGGUCCAGACUCCUACGGGAGGCAGCAGUGGGGAAUAUUGGACAAUGGGCGAAAGCCUGAUACAGCCAUGCCGCGUGUGUGAAGAAGGUCUUCGGAUUGUAAAGCACUUUAAGUUGGGAGGAAGGGCAGUAAGUUAAUACCUUGCUGUUUUGACGUUACCAACAGAAUAAGCACCGGCUAACUUCGUG
Molecule: ribosomal RNA, 484 nt
Filed under: uncultured bacterium
Lineage: Bacteria
Description: partial 16S ribosomal RNA
Rfam family: Bacterial small subunit ribosomal RNA
Source: RNAcentral